GAUGAACGCUGGCGGCGUGCCUAAUACAUGCAAGUCGAGCGAACAGACGAGGAGCUUGCUCCUCUGACGUUAGCGGCGGACGGGUGAGUAACACGUGGUUAACCUACCAAUAAGACUGGGAUAACUUCGGGAAACCGGAGCUAAUACCGGAUAAUAUAUUGAACCGCAUGGUUCAAUAGUGAAAGACGGUUUUGCUGUCACUUAUAGAUGGAUCCGCGCCGCAUUAGCUAGUUGGUAAGGUAACGGCUUACCAAGGCAACGAUGCGUAGCCGACCUGAGAGGGUGAUCGGCCACACUGGAACUGAGACACGGUCCAGACUCCUACGGGAGGCAGCAGUAGGGAAUCUUCCGCAAUGGGCGAAAGCCUGACGGAGCAACGCCGCGUGAGUGAUGAAGGUCUUCGGAUCGUAAAACUCUGUUAUUAGGGAAGAACAAAUGUGUAAGUAACUAUGCACGUCUUGACGGUACCUAAUCAGAAAGCCACGGCUAACUACGUG
This 497-nucleotide ribosomal RNA is filed under the name uncultured bacterium. RNAcentral's name for it is "partial 16S ribosomal RNA". It matches the Rfam family "Bacterial small subunit ribosomal RNA", at positions 28 to 507 of the family's 1533-position model. The record is from RNAcentral.